UACGUAGGGUGCGAGCGUUAAUCGGAAUUACUGGGCGUAAAGCGUGCGCAGGCGGUCUGUUAAGACCGAUGUGAAAUCCCCGGGCUUAACCUGGGAACUGCAUUGGUGACUGGCAGGCUUUGAGUGUGGCAGAGGGAGGUAGAAUUCCACGUGUAGCAGUGAAAUGCGUAGAGAUGUGGAGGAAUACCGAUGGCGAAGGCAGCCUCCUGGGCCAACACUGACGCUCAUGUGCGAAAGCGUGGGGAGCAAACAGG
This 254-nucleotide ribosomal RNA is filed under the name uncultured bacterium. RNAcentral's name for it is "partial 16S ribosomal RNA". It matches the Rfam family "Bacterial small subunit ribosomal RNA", at positions 524 to 776 of the family's 1533-position model. The record is from RNAcentral.